AUUGAACGCUGGCGGCAGGCCUAACACAUGCAAGUCGAGCGGAUGAAGGGAGCUUGCUCCUGGAUUCAGCGGCGGACGGGUGAGUAAUGCCUAGGAAUCUGCCUGGUAGUGGGGGAUAACGUCCGGAAACGGGCGCUAAUACCGCAUACGUCCUGAGGGAGAAAGUGGGGGAUCUUCGGACCUCACGCUAUCAGAUGAGCCUAGGUCGGAUUAGCUAGUUGGUGGGGUAAAGGCCUACCAAGGCGACGAUCCGUAACUGGUCUGAGAGGAUGAUCAGUCACACUGGAACUUAGACACGGUCCAGACUCCUACGAGAGGCAGCAGUGGGGAAUAUUGGACAAUGGGCGAAAGCCUGAUCCAGCCAUGCCGCGUGUGUGAAGAAGGUCUUCGGAUUGUAAAGCACUUUAAGUUGGGAGGAAGGGCAGUAAGUUAAUACCUUGCUGUUUUGACGUUACCAACAGAAUAAGCACCGGCUAACUUCGUG
Molecule: ribosomal RNA, 484 nt
Filed under: uncultured bacterium
Lineage: Bacteria
Description: partial 16S ribosomal RNA
Rfam family: Bacterial small subunit ribosomal RNA
Source: RNAcentral